AGUGAACGCUGGCGGUAGGCCUAACACAUGCAAGUCGAACGGCAGCACAGUAAGAGCUUGCUCUUACGGGUGGCGAGUGGCGGACGGGUGAGGAAUACAUCGGAAUCUACUUUUUCGUGGGGGAUAACGUAGGGAAACUUACGCUAAUACCGCAUACGACCUACGGGUGAAAGCAGGGGAUCUUCGGACCUUGCGCGAUUGAAUGAGCCGAUGUCGGAUUAGCUAGUUGGCGGGGUAAAGGCCCACCAAGGCGACGAUCCGUAGCUGGUCUGAGAGGAUGAUCAGCCACACUGGCACUGAGACACGGUCCAGACUCCUACGGGAGGCAGCAGUGGGGAAUUUUGGACAAUGGGCGCAAGCCUGAUCCAGCCAUACCGCGUGGGUGAAGAAGGCCUUCGGGUUGUAAAGCCCUUUUGUUGGGAAAGAAAAGCAGCAGGUUAAUACCCCGCUGUUCUGACGGUACCCAAAGAAUAAGCACCGGCUAACUUCGUG
This 492-nucleotide ribosomal RNA is filed under the name uncultured bacterium. Its description in RNAcentral is "partial 16S ribosomal RNA". It matches the Rfam family "Bacterial small subunit ribosomal RNA", at positions 29 to 507 of the family's 1533-position model. The record is from RNAcentral.